GACCCUGUGGAGGGGUAGCCAGGACUGU
Molecule: small RNA, 28 nt
Filed under: Bombyx mori (domestic silkworm)
Lineage: Eukaryota; Metazoa; Arthropoda; Insecta; Lepidoptera; Bombycidae
Description: ovarian small RNA-15480
Source: RNAcentral